CAGGCGUGGCGAGGGGCGGGGUCCGGGGCGAGGAGUGGUGGACGCCCUGGGCACGCUUCAGGGGGCGGGAAACUGAGGCAUGGAGCGCGUCCUGGGGCGCGCCUGGGAGGGGUGUAGUGCGCGCGGAACGUGCGGCGGCGCAGGCACGGCUGGGAGACAGGCCCGAGGCGCUGGCCGGGCCCGGCGGGGUCAAUCGCUGUUCUUUUAAUGUUGCUGGAGAAUGUACUGCUCUCCCUCCAACAGUGAAGGAAAUGCGACAGCGGAACGUCCUAGGGCCCCGGGGGCUUGCUAGAGAGACUGCAGGUGGAAACAGACCAGGGCCAGGCCACCUGUAAGGAUGGACCUGUACCCACGCCCUGCGGCCGCCCCCUACCCGCGACUGCCGGCGCACGAGCCCGGCCCCCCACCUGCAGCGACCGGCCGGGAAGCCAGCGUGCCACAAGUCAGAGUUGCAGGAAGUCAGACCAGCAUCUCCAGCAACUGGUCCAGGAGGCCGCACAACCACCCCGUGACACUCAGCCCCAGAUGGCCAGAACGUGAUCAGUAACUGACAGCUUCCCCAAUUUCUGUCCUUCCUUCCAACUUGGGACCAACCAGAGAAAGCCAAAAUGCUCCCCUAACCAAUCGCGAGGACACCCCGCUUCCAGAUCCCCACCUCCAGCAUCCUCGGGCCCCCAUCCGCCAUGGCCGCAUCCGGGCAACCCUGAGCCCCCGUUUCUUUCCGCUGAAGUCUCUGCUCCUCCGCCUACCUUUGGGUUUCUGCCAUCACAAGUGUCGACCCCGCCUGCUACAGUGCGCCCUGAGUAGCAGCCUCUGCUGUUUUCACCUGGGGGUCCUUGUUUCCAUUCUAGCCUGGUUUUCCCUCCCCACGUGGAGCCCUCUCCAACUCCCAGCAAAUGCCAUCACUCAGAGGACCCCAUGCAAGGGAGGCCUGACUUCCUGCAGCAUCCGUGUAAACCCGCCUUUGAGAAGGAAGAUCAGCCCUGAGCUAACAUCUGCUGCCGAUCCUCCUCUUUUUGCUGAGGAAG
Equus quagga is the source of this 1028-nucleotide long non-coding RNA. RefSeq lists it as uncharacterized. The transcript has 3 exons. Lineage: Eukaryota; Metazoa; Chordata; Mammalia; Perissodactyla; Equidae. The record is from RefSeq and is a predicted model, not a curated record.